Molecule: long non-coding RNA, 370 nt
Organism: Galeopterus variegatus (Sunda flying lemur)
Lineage: Eukaryota; Metazoa; Chordata; Mammalia; Dermoptera; Cynocephalidae
Exons: 4
Source: RefSeq, a predicted model, not a curated record
UGAGAUAGUAUUGAGAGUGCUUCCUCCAGCUCACGGUGAAGCUUCGUGGCUCAUCUCUAACUCGGAGAAGAAAAGAUGAAGAAACUGAGGCACAGAAGAACUGUCUCCUGGCCAAACUCAUGCAGCUGCUAAGAGAGGUGUCAAGCUUUGGAAUCAGAUUUCAUGGGAUCAUCCCAGCUCAACUAGUUUUCAGACUGAAGUAUUUUGCUUCAACACACCAAAGAGAAGUCCUGGCAGCAGAAAAUGUCAUCCAUAACCUAUGAUGUAGUCAUUGCUUAGGUGAAGGAAUCCAUGUUUUCUUUGAUAUGGUCUGGUGGAUUAAAAGAAGGAAACUUAUCACUUGAAAAAUAUAUCUGGUUUUGACAGGUAA